Molecule: ribosomal RNA, 442 nt
Filed under: uncultured bacterium
Lineage: Bacteria
Description: partial 16S ribosomal RNA
Rfam family: Bacterial small subunit ribosomal RNA
Source: RNAcentral
CUACGGGGCGCUCCAGUGGGGAAUAUUGGGCAAUGGGGGAAACCCUGACCCAGCAACGCCGCGUGAAGGAAGAAGGUCUUCGGAUUGUAAACUUCUUUGAUCAGGGACGAAAAAAAUGACGGUACCUGAAGAACAAGCCACGGCUAACUACGUGCCAGCAGCCGCGGUAAUACGUAGGUGGCAAGCGUUAUCCGGAUUUACUGGGUGUAAAGGGCGUGUAGGCGGCUCUGCAAGUCAGAUGUGAAAUUCCCAGGCUUAACCUGGGCGCUGCAUCUGAAACUGUAGAACUUGAGUACUGGAGAGGAUAGUGGAAUUCCUAGUGUAGCGGUAAAAUGCGUAGAUAUUAGGAGGAACACCAGUGGCGAAGGCGGCUAUCUGGACAGUAACUGACGCUGAGGCGCGAAAGCGUGGGGAGCAAACAGGAUUAGAUACCCCAGUAGUC